GUGUAUUUUGUGUAUAUCGUGUGUAUAGUGUGCAGUGUGUGAAGUGUGUAUUUUGUGUAAAGUGUGUGUGAGUGCGUAUUUUGUGUAAAGUGUGUGUGAGUGCGUAUUUUGUGUAUAGGGAGGCGUCGGCCUUCCUCGUUUUUCCCCGAUUCAAAAUCGGACUCAAAUCUUACCGGCCCCCGGCCUCGCUCCUGAUUCGCGAGUGUCAAAUGGCCUUUCUCCGAGACCUCUCUCUCUCGGUAGUCGGUGCCUCCGUCGUCGUCUCUCCAUCGUUGACCCUAUGCUUUCGGAGGAGGAGCAGGAACGCCGCACCGCUGUCGCUCGUCGAGUCCGUGCUCCCUCCGGCUGCCCUCGGCAAGAGCCGUCCCUCACCCAUGCUAAGUCUCCGUUCACUCCUCGUUCUAGUUCUUAAAUUUUAUUCUAUUGAAGUUUGUAUGGGAUCUAGUAGCAUUAGAAAUUCUAAUUUGAGUAAAGUUUGUGGUUUCUGAUCAAGUGAUGGUAUAUGAUAGCUCUGUUAAUGUGUGUAUGAUAAGCUCCUACUUCCUAUGUUAUACCUGAGCUAAACGAGCAGGGGUGUGUGGAGGUUUCACUACUUCAUCUUACUCCAUCAUUCUGUCCCAUUAUGAAUGAUGACGGCUCUAAAUUCUUACUUGAUGAUAUGGUGUUCAAACUGAGUUCCAAAUGGAGUGGGGUUUACCUUCGCUGCUUGAUGAACGAGGCUAUUCUAAUCUCCGGUCACCGAGAGCUCCACUCCCUCUCUAUGCGUGGCUGGUGGUUUGGUGUGUGUGGUGGGGGAAAACUUGUUGCAUAUGGAGGGGGAUUUUAUAGGCUCUCUUGUGUACCUAGAGUUUGUUAGCACUCUUGACAGAGAUGUACUCUGAAUCCCUGACUCCUUUCUAACAGAUUCUAGUUGUUUAUGGGGUGUGUACUCGUGAAUUGAAUGUGGCUGCUCCCUCCUCACUCGGCAGCCUACUGCGGGAUCUCACUCCCUCCCCCUUUUCCAACCCCCCUACUGACUUCGGGUACGGUUUUGCAGGUGGACUGAAACUGACAUGGUUGGCUGGAGUGCAGGGUGUUGCUGCAGCCUCUCCUCCCUAGCUAGACGCGCGGCAGCCUUGGCCGCAGAGUGCAGUCCGCUGCAGGGUGGUCUGCCAUCUCAUAGAAAGGGAAGAGACUAUCCAUCGCCGGCGAUUAGCACGUUGCCUCGGCCCAUCGUCCGUCGACAGUCGAGGCAGCAACCGGUGCUAAAUGUGCCGAAGCUAGUUCUCUCUUCUUUCUCGUAUUGUAAUAGAGUAGCUCUACGUGUAAACUUUCUUCAACAUGUAAUAGUUAGUUGGUGUGUGUUUCGUUUUUCCUUUAUUUCUAUCAUUCUCAUUGUAAUUCAAUACAUAGCUUAAGACUUUCAUAUAUUGUAUUUCGUUCGUUUAAGAAAUACACACAUACUCUUCCACUC
Molecule: long non-coding RNA, 1453 nt
Organism: Salvia splendens (bonfire salvia)
Lineage: Eukaryota; Viridiplantae; Streptophyta; Magnoliopsida; Lamiales; Lamiaceae
Exons: 2
Source: RefSeq, a predicted model, not a curated record